Molecule: unclassified non-coding RNA, 251 nt
Filed under: Hevea brasiliensis (rubber tree)
Lineage: Eukaryota; Viridiplantae; Streptophyta; Magnoliopsida; Malpighiales; Euphorbiaceae
Source: RNAcentral
AUGUUUUCAUUGGAUUGUUUGUACCAAAUAUUUUAAAGGUCCAGUGUGUAAGAUUUAGGUGAAAGGGAACUAUUGGCAGAAAUUUAAUGUAGAAUAAUCCUCAUGAUGUUUUCACUAGUUCAUUUCAUCUAAAUUGUAUGAAUUGUAGUUUUCUUUACCCCAGAAAAGGCCCUUUAUAUUUAAAUACUUUAUAUUUACAUGUAGGGGGGUCCUCUCUAAGGAGGCCACCAUGUUUUUUACAUUAGUCCAGA